Long non-coding RNA from Oreochromis aureus, 503 nucleotides. The record is from Ensembl. Lineage: Eukaryota; Metazoa; Chordata; Actinopteri; Cichliformes; Cichlidae.
CUCGCCCCCGAGGGGGGCAGCCCGGAGAGGCAGCAGGGGAGUUUCAGUCUGAAGAGUCAACUGAUUAUGCAGCAGAGCCAUCCCUGUUGCUUCUCCUAGCUCCCCAGUCCCUGGUCCCUCCACUCCUGCUGCUGCACCCACAGGCCCACAGAGGAGGACAGCUCAAAAGCGGUCGAGGGACGGGUCCCAGGAUGGUCCAUUGGCGGUGGAGCUGGCCAUCCUGGAGUCACUGAAGAGGCCACGCCCGUCUCCAACGGAGUAUUUCCUCCUUGGCCUUGCUCCUGCUCUGGAGAGCCUGCCGCCUCAGACACGAGAAUUCGUGAAAUUCCAAAUGCACAAAUUACUUUUUGAAAGCAGCACAGCUGUGUUAAAUUUGGAAACAUUGGACCCUAGCGAUCAGUAGUUUUCUGAUGAGGCAGCAGGCUCUCCAGGGCAGAAACAAUGUUCUUAUUUUUCUCCUCAUUCUCCCUGAGGCUCUUCUAUUCCAAGCUGGGUCCUUUUUG